RNAcentral lists this ribosomal RNA (1612 nucleotides) under Salmonella enterica. RNAcentral describes it as "partial 23S ribosomal RNA". It matches the Rfam family "Bacterial large subunit ribosomal RNA", at positions 566 to 2167 of the family's 2925-position model. The record is from RNAcentral. Lineage: Bacteria; Pseudomonadati; Pseudomonadota; Gammaproteobacteria; Enterobacterales; Enterobacteriaceae.
CAGAGGGGGCUUAGUGGUGGGGUGACUGCGUACCUUUUGUAUAAUGGGUCAGCGACUUAUAUUCUGUAGCAAGGUUAACCGAAUAGGGGAGCCGGAGGGAAACCGAGUCUUAAUUGGGCGUUAAGUUGCAGGGUAUAGACCCGAAACCCGGUGAUCUAGCCAUGGGCAGGUUGAAGGUUGGGUAACACUAACUGGAGGACCGAACCGACUAAUGUUGAAAAAUUAGCGGAUGACCUGUGGCUGGGGGUGAAAGGCCAAUCAAACCGGGAGAUAGCUGGUUCUCCCCGAAAGCUAUUUAGGUAGCGCCUCGUGAAUUCAUCUCCGGGGGUAGAGCACUGUUUCGGCUAGGGGGCCAUCCCGGCUUACCAACCCGAUGCAAACUGCGAAUACCGGAGAAUGUUAUCACGGGAGACACACGGCGGGUGCUAACGUCCGUCGUGAAGAGGGAAACAACCCAGACCGCCAGCUAAGGUCCCAAAGUCAUGGUUAAGUGGGAAACGAUGUGGGAAGGCCCAGACAGCCAGGAUGUUGGCUUAGAAGCAGCCAUCAUUUAAAGAAAGCGUAAUAGCUCACUGGUCGAGUCGGCCUGCGCGGAAGAUGUAACGGGGCUAAACCAUGCACCGAAGCUGCGGCAGCGACGCUGAUGCGUUGUUGGGUAGGGGAGCGUUCUGUAAGCCUGCGAAGGUGGCCUGUGAGGGUUGCUGGAGGUAUCAGAAGUGCGAAUGCUGACAUAAGUAACGAUAAAGCGGGUGAAAAGCCCGCUCGCCGGAAGACCAAGGGUUCCUGUCCAACGUUAAUCGGGGCAGGGUGAGUCGACCCCUAAGGCGAGGCCGAAAGGCGUAGUCGAUGGGAAACGGGUUAAUAUUCCCGUACUUGGUGUUACUGCGAAGGGGGGACGGAGAAGGCUAUGUUGGCCGGGCGACGGUUGUCCCGGUUUAAGCGUGUAGGUGUGUGUUCCAGGUAAAUCCGGUUCACUUUAACACUGAGGCGUGAUGACGAGGCACUACGGUGCUGAAGCAACAAAUGCCCUGCUUCCAGGAAAAGCCUCUAAGCAUCAGGUAACAUCAAAUCGUACCCCAAACCGACACAGGUGGUCAGGUAGAGAAUACCAAGGCGCUUGAGAGAACUCGGGUGAAGGAACUAGGCAAAAUGGUGCCGUAACUUCGGGAGAAGGCACGCUGACACGUAGGUGAAGUGAUUUACUCAUGGAGCUGAAGUCAGUCGAAGAUACCAGCUGGCUGCAACUGUUUAUUAAAAACACAGCACUGUGCAAACACGAAAGUGGACGUAUACGGUGUGACGCCUGCCCGGUGCCGGAAGGUUAAUUGAUGGGGUCAGCGCAAGCGAAGCUCCUGAUCGAAGCCCCGGUAAACGGCGGCCGUAACUAUAACGGUCCUAAGGUAGCGAAAUUCCUUGUCGGGUAAGUUCCGACCUGCACGAAUGGCGUAAUGAUGGCCAGGCUGUCUCCACCCGAGACUCAGUGAAAUUGAACUCGCUGUGAAGAUGCAGUGUACCCGCGGCAAGACGGAAAGACCCCGUGAACCUUUACUAUAGCUUGACACUGAACAUUGAGCCUUGAUGUGUAGGAUAGGUGGGAGGCUUUGAAGUGUGG